This 331-nucleotide unclassified non-coding RNA is filed under the name soil metagenome. RNAcentral's name for it is "partial contains 5.8S ribosomal RNA, internal transcribed spacer 2, and large subunit ribosomal RNA". The stretch from base 1 to 120 matches the Rfam family "5.8S ribosomal RNA", at positions 35 to 154 of the family's 154-position model. The record is from RNAcentral.
GAUGAAGAACGUAGUGAAAUGCGAUAAGUAAUGUGAAUUGCAGAAUUCCGUGAAUCAUCGAAUCUUUGAACGCACAUUGCGCCCUCUGGUAUUCCGGGGGGCAUGCCUGUUCGAGCGUCAUUUCACCACUCAAGCCUCGCUUGGUAUUGGGCAACGCGGUCCGCCGCGUGCCUCAAAUCGACCGGCUGGGUCUUCUGUCCCCUAAGCGUUGUGGAAACUAUUCGCUAAAGGGUGUUCGGGAGGCUACGCCGUAAAACAACCCCAUUUCUAAGGUUGACCUCGGAUCAGGUAGGGAUACCCGCUGAACUUAAGCAUAUCAAUAAGCGGAGGA